AGAGUUUGAUCCUGGCUCAGAACGAACGUAGCGGCGCGCUUAACACAUGCAAGUCGUGCGAGAAAGGGGCAACCCCGGUAAAGCGGCGCACGGGUGAGUACACGUAGGUAAUCUACCUCCAGGUGGUGGAUAACCUUCCGAAAGGAGGGCUAAUACAGCAUGAGACCACGGGCCCGCAAGGGACUGAGGUCAAAGCCGGC
This 200-nucleotide ribosomal RNA is filed under the name uncultured bacterium. Its description in RNAcentral is "partial 16S ribosomal RNA". It matches the Rfam family "Bacterial small subunit ribosomal RNA", at positions 8 to 216 of the family's 1533-position model. The record is from RNAcentral.